Molecule: unclassified non-coding RNA, 321 nt
Filed under: uncultured fungus
Lineage: Eukaryota; Fungi
Description: partial contains small subunit ribosomal RNA, internal transcribed spacer 1, and 5.8S ribosomal RNA
Rfam family: Eukaryotic small subunit ribosomal RNA (bases 1-73)
Source: RNAcentral
GCAAACUUGGUCAUUUAGAGGAAGUAAAAGUCGUAACAAGGUUUCCGUAGGUGAACCUGCGGAAGGAUCAUUACUAUAUCCUUGGGGGUGUGACCUGUCAUGGGCCGCGCCCCUGCUGGAAGUGCCGGAAGGCGUCUGACAGCGUAACCCUUUGUGAAAUACCCUGUUGCUUCGGCAGCCCCUUCCAGGAGCGGUAAGCCUGCCAGCAGUCAUGGAAACUCAUCCUGAAAAAUUUGCACUUCUGUCUGAACAGCGCAGUCGAAUGACUAUAAAACUUUCAACAACGGAUCUCUUGGUUCCCGCAUCGAUGAAGAACGCAGC